This 255-nucleotide ribosomal RNA is filed under the name uncultured bacterium. RNAcentral describes it as "partial 16S ribosomal RNA". It matches the Rfam family "Bacterial small subunit ribosomal RNA", at positions 524 to 776 of the family's 1533-position model. The record is from RNAcentral.
UACGUAGGGUGCGAGCGUUGUCCGGAAUUAUUGGGCGUAAAGAGCUCGUAGGCGGUCUGUCGCGUCGAUCGUGAAAACUUGGGGCUUAACCCUGAGCUUGCGGUCGAUACGGGCAUGACUGGAGUUCGGCAGGGGAGACUGGAAUUCCUGGUGUAGCGGUGAAAUGCGCAGAUAUCAGGAGGAACACCGGUGGCGAAGGCGGGUCUCUGGGCCGAUACUGACGCUGAGGAGCGAAAGCGUGGGGGAGCGAACAGG